AACGAACGCUGGCGGCAUGCCUAACACAUGCAAGUCGAACGAGACCUUCGGGUCUAGUGGCGCACGGGUGCGUAACGCGUGGGAACCUGCCCUUAGGUUGGGAAUAACUCCCCGAAAGGGGGGCUAAUCCCGGAAAAUGUCUUCGGACCAAAGAUUUAUCGCCUUUGGAUGGGCCCGCGUUGGAUUAGCUAGUUGGUAGGGUAAAAGCCUACCAAGGCGACGAUCCAUAGCUGGUCUGAGAGGAUGAUCAGCCACACUGGGACUGAGACACGGCCCAGACUCCUACGGGAGGCAGCAGUGGGGAAUAUUGGACAAUGGGCGAAAGCCUGAUCCAGCAAUGCCGCGUGAGUGAUGAAGGCCUUAGGGUUGUAAAGCUCUUUUACCCGGGAUGAUAAUGACAGUACCGGGAGAAUAAGCUCCGGCUAACUCCGUG
Molecule: ribosomal RNA, 433 nt
Filed under: uncultured bacterium
Lineage: Bacteria
Description: partial 16S ribosomal RNA
Rfam family: Bacterial small subunit ribosomal RNA
Source: RNAcentral